ACCUCCGUGGCCCAGUGGAUAAGGCAUUGGCCUCCUAAGCCAAGGAUUGCGGGUUCGAGUCCCGCCAGAGGUU
Molecule: transfer RNA, 73 nt
Filed under: Penaeus vannamei (Pacific white shrimp)
Lineage: Eukaryota; Metazoa; Arthropoda; Malacostraca; Decapoda; Penaeidae
Description: Litopenaeus vannamei (Pacific white shrimp) tRNA
Rfam family: tRNA
About the family: Transfer RNA (tRNA) molecules are approximately 80 nucleotides in length. Their secondary structure includes four short double-helical elements and three loops (D, anti-codon, and T loops).
Source: Rfam by way of RNAcentral